This is a long non-coding RNA of Coturnix japonica (Japanese quail), 1578 nucleotides long. The record is from Ensembl. Lineage: Eukaryota; Metazoa; Chordata; Aves; Galliformes; Phasianidae.
AUGACCCUCUCUUGCUGUUCCCACUGGGUGUCAUAAACUCCAUGACUACUUCCAAGAAACGUUAAGAAAUACAGACAUCACUGAUAGAGGCCAGAGGGACUUAGAGAGGUCCUCUUGUACAGAACAGGGUCAGCUACACCUGAGUUUCACCCAGUAAUAGAAGCCAAUAUCCUGACCAGCCACAAAACCAGUACCCAAAGGACAGGAGUGGUCCAAGAAGCAGCAGCAGCAAAUGGCAUCUCCCAAUAAGCCUGACAUGAAGAGAAAGGAGAAUUAUACUCAAAGACAGUGUUUGCCCAACUCACACUGCAAAGCAAAGUCUCAGUGAUACAACACCACUUUUUUAUUUUGCACUUGAGAUUGUCUCAAAUAUUUUCAGUUGAUGGUAAAUGCUGCCUUUUGGAACAAGCUGAUCAUGAUUACAAGGUAAAUCUCAUAAUCAGAGACUCUUAUAAAUGCUGAAGGAUUGCUGGGGUUCAGAAGGAUCUAUCUCAACUUGUAGGUAACACAAUUUCAAAUGAAAAUCAAUGUUCUUCAUAAAUAUCCUAAAACUUAUUCCUGUCAAUGGACAAAACUUUUCUAAAGAAGAAAGUAUACUUUGGUUCUUGUUAUUGAAUUUAAGGAAGAACAUGAAUUUACAAGGGUUUCAGUCUCCUUUAAAGAGAGAAGUUCUUUAGAAAUUAUGGAAAAUAGACUUCCUUGAAGAUACAUUUCUAUACAAAAGGAACUUCAAGUAUCUCUGAAAAUGUGGGAAUAAAGAAAGAGAACAUUUUCCCAGAGCUGCAAACCACUGGAGGCUCCCUUCCAGGAGACGAAACUUGAUGUUCCCACUGGAAGCUGACCCCACAUGUGACUCUCGGCAGGACCAAGCAUGGCCACCAACAGAUACGCUGUCAGAGCCAAACACAAGCCUGCAGGGGAGCGUGAUGCGAUGAGCAGCUGCCACUGCUGAAAACUUUCUUUGUAGACCCUGACACCUGGCUUCCUUCACUGCAAAGCCUGACCUCCUCCUCCAAGGCACCACAGGAGACGCAUUAGUGUGGCAGGUCAGGCAAAGCAAGGAUCCAGGCAGCAGAAGCAAGCUGGUUUCAAAUCAAGAUGGCCCUGUGAUAAUAGAUUUGCCCACUCUGAAUUUGGAAGUCCUGGCUUGGAAUUUCUUUGGUUUCAGUUUGUUUAUUGGUAGAAAUGGGAUUUUUAUGCUGCUAGAACUGUGUUUCAGUCUUUCAGUGAAAGUUUAUGUGGUUCUUGCUGGUCACCUUCUACUGCCUUCUUUGUUCUGUAAGUACAUUAACAGAUUCUCUUGGGUUAUUAAAUAGGUACUGCACUUAUGCCGAAAACACACUGUGGUUGUGCUCAGUGUGAUUCUAAUUUAUAGAAGCUGCACAUUUAUCUUGCAUAAAGGUACAUAAUCUAGCAUGUUAUCUGCCACUGAGAACUGUAUCCCAUCUGCUUAGCCCACGAGACAUACACAGAUCCUCUCCUGUGUGCAAAGGAAACAGUAUUUAGGCUCUGCUUUGUAAAUGUUUGGGAUUUCUCAGGAGGAGUCUCUGCUUACUAUCCUUAAAAGCAAUACUGAAG